UUGACCUCGGAUCAGGUAGGAAUACCCGCUGAACUUAAGCAUAUCAAAAGGCCGGAGGAA
Molecule: ribosomal RNA, 60 nt
Filed under: Fusarium commune
Lineage: Eukaryota; Fungi; Ascomycota; Sordariomycetes; Hypocreales; Nectriaceae
Also listed under: 3 other names
Description: partial 28S ribosomal RNA
Source: RNAcentral